Transfer RNA from Phialocephala subalpina, 81 nucleotides. It matches the Rfam family "tRNA". From Rfam's summary of the family: Transfer RNA (tRNA) molecules are approximately 80 nucleotides in length. Their secondary structure includes four short double-helical elements and three loops (D, anti-codon, and T loops). The record is from Rfam. Lineage: Eukaryota; Fungi; Ascomycota; Leotiomycetes; Helotiales; Mollisiaceae.
GACACUUUGGCAGAGUGGUUAUUGCGACAGUCUACUAAGCUGUUUCCUUUGGGAGCAUGAGUUCGAUUCUCAUAGGUGUCG